This is a non-coding RNA of Mandrillus leucophaeus (drill), 650 nucleotides long. The record is from the annotation of a RefSeq genome assembly. Lineage: Eukaryota; Metazoa; Chordata; Mammalia; Primates; Cercopithecidae.
AUCCAAUGAGCCUCCUCCCUGCAGCUGGCUGAUGUAGCUCACUGAUGUCUGUGUAGAUAGGGAGCUGUGAUGAGAACAAGAGGUCAGAACACAUCUAGGCUCCUUAAGAGAAAGCCUUUCUUUAACCGUUUCUGAAACGCUUCAAAGGCAGAGACUUGUCCAGCCUAACCUCCCUGCUGCCCCUAUCUCCUGAGGCUCAGGGCCCUUGGCUUCUGUCCGCCCUGCUCAGGGCCCUCCAGCGUUGCCACUCCUCAGCCAUGGUCCUGCUGCUCGUGCCAGUGCUCGAGGUGAUUUUUACCCUGGGAGGAACCAAAGCCCAGUCUGUGACCCAGCUUGACAGCCAAGUCUCUGUCUCUGAAGGAGUCCCUGUGCUGCUGAGGUGCAACUACUCAUCAUCUUUUCCACCAACUCUCUUCUGGUAUGUGCAAUACCCCAACCAAGGACUCCAACUUCUCCUGAAGUACACAUCAGGGACCACCCUGGUUAAAGGCAUCAACGGUUUCGAGGCUGAAUUUAAAAAGAGUGAAACCUCCUUCCACCUGACGAAAGCCUCAGCCCAUGUGAGCGAUGCGGCUGAGUACUUCUGUGCUGUGAAUGACACAGUGCCUGAGACUGCAGAGCAGCUGAACACAAACCUCCUGAGAUACUGA